Meleagris gallopavo (turkey) is the source of this 1953-nucleotide non-coding RNA. NCBI's taxonomy places the organism in Eukaryota, Metazoa, Chordata, Aves, Galliformes, Phasianidae. The record is from RefSeq and is a predicted model, not a curated record.
CGAUUUAUCCUCACUUGUUUUCUGGUGCUCCUACCCCAGAAAUUUAGGAGAUAGCCUUUUUGCUUUCAAUAUCUUACUGAAAAAAGGAGCAUACAUCCUAUUGCAUUCAUUUGGUCUUCAAAUUCCUUACGGCCCUUUUGCAUUGCCUAUUCUUAGCAGAAUUCCAAGUCUUUGGAGCUUCAUGAGAAAAUGGCGCACAGGAGUGAUACAAAUGUUAAAUCUCUGUUCUUGACUUUGAUAUUGCUUUUUUGCUCUUUGCUGGCUCAGGAGAAGACAUUAGUAGAUACUGAAUUAAGACUUCAUCAGUGUGUCCGUACUUCAUUCAUUGAGAAUCCUUACAGCUAUUUUUACUGCAUAUAGUGAUAAUUACUCCUGUUGGCAGAGCAGAACUAAUCUAAUCUUUUUUGGCAGCUGAAACCUGUGAAGGAGCCAGGAAUGAUGUCUGUUGAAUUUUUAACCCUGAACAUGCAAUUCCAUUGUUACCACAAUGGGCUCCCACUUUGUUUGAGUACCUAGUAAUGUUAACGAUCAUAUAGGUAUUAAAAUUUGUUAAGUUUAAUAGAGCUAUAACACAUGCCUACUUUGGUGACCCUGCUUUUGGGAUCAGUCUGUUAGAUGGCAGGUGUUGGGGGACUGUCUGGCUUGGCUUGCAAAGAGGAGCCCUCAAUAUAAGAACAACUCUGUCUGCGGGUACCUAUUUUUUUUUCUUUUAUUGUAUAUGGCUGUGUAUGUAUAUGUGUAUUUUCUUUAUAUGUGUAUAUAGCAACAGCAACAGAAUGGAAAUAAGGGAGAUCUUCCCAGCUAAUCUUUUGUCAUCAUCACCCUUAGGACAGAAAAAGUCAGGAGCCUAUGCUCUGCACUAAGUGCUGAGAUCUUGGACGAGUGAAAGUAUUCUGGUUUUCACUUGCUUGAAUGGUGUUGAUGUGUUGCAGUUCCAUGUGAAUGUCUAAUGGUAGAAUUUCAUCUUCAGAACACUUUAUGAUGGUCUCUGAACUCCCGUAAGAGUACUUUUAAUACAGAAGCUAUGUCUAGGUACAGAAUAUGGUCCCUACUAAUAGUUUCAUUUUAUUGAAGUAGUUCAGUGCUAGAAUAUACUCUCUGGGAAGUACCUCGAACACUAUAGUAAUAGAGUCUAUGGAAUUGGUUUUCUUUUCUUUUUUUUUUUUCUUUUGCAUUUAGUCUUUCACUUCAUUAGAAGCCUGGCUAGACAAAUCUAUAUUUUCUCCGGGCAGUUGUAGUCCUGCCUGUGCUUUUUGUGUCUAAUUAGUCAUUUCUAUUCAGUUUCUUUUGUGAAGAAUUUCUACACAUUUCUGUCAGUAUUCAUAACAACACACUAUGUUGACAAAGCCUCAAGUAAAUGUUUAUUUUUGUGUCAAAUAGCAAAUGUCACAGUAGAAAACAGCACACUUUUUGUGUGGAAUUGAGUAUAAUAGGGUUUAUCUUCUCAGUUCCAAUUUAAGUUCAUACAAAUAAAUUAUCAAACAUAUAAACGAUAGCUUCAUCUUCUGAUGUUAGAUUUUUUGUUUUUAUUUUUUCUCAAACUUUUUCUUCGUUUCAAUAAAUAUUGUCUUAAUACCUCCUAGGAAAUUAAAUUCUCAGCAGGAUGGACCAGAAGCCACUAAUGCUCUAACCUGUUCUAUAAAAAAGGCUCAUUGCAGGAGUUGUAACAUGUCAGCAGCACCGGCAAUAACAACAUGAUCUGUUGGUAGAAGUUUUCUUUGCUUGAAGAACAUAAGGACUUUUCUUUCGGCAUGUUGUGAAAUAUUUGGGAUGAAGAAAAGUGAACUUUUUGAAGCAUUCGAUUUAUUUGAUGUGAGAGAUUUUGGAAAGGUAAGGAUCUUUUAGCAAUUAUACCCUGACUAAAACUCAUGUUCUGCGGCUUAAGGAUAAGUCUUUGUAGGUGUAGUGUAGAAGUUGUAACCGUGAAUGGGCAGCCAUUAAAAAGAAAGAAAG